GAUGAACGCUGGCGGCGUGCCUAAUACAUGCAAGUCGAGCGAACAGACGAGGAGCUUGCUCCUCUGAUGUUAGCGGCGGACGGGUGAGUAACACGUGGAUAACCUACCUAUAAGACUGGGAUAACUUCGGGAAACCGGAGCUAAUACCGGAUAACAUGUUGAACCGCAUGGUUCAACAGUGAAAGACGGUCUUGCUGUCACUUAUAGAUGGAUCCGCGCCGCAUUAGCUAGUUGGUAAGGUAACGGCUUACCAAGGCAACGAUGCGUAGCCGACCUGAGAGGGUGAUCGGCCACACUGGAACUGAGACACGGUCCAGACUCCUACGGGAGGCAGCAGUAGGGAAUCUUCCGCAAUGGGCGAACGCCUGACGGAGCAACGCCGCGUGAGUGAAGAAGGUCUUCGGAUCGUAAAACUCUGUUAUUAGGGAAGAACAAAUGUGUAAGUAACUAUGCACGUCUUGACGGUACCUAAUCAGAAAGCCACGGCUAACUACGUG
RNAcentral lists this ribosomal RNA (497 nucleotides) under uncultured bacterium. RNAcentral describes it as "partial 16S ribosomal RNA". It matches the Rfam family "Bacterial small subunit ribosomal RNA", at positions 28 to 507 of the family's 1533-position model. The record is from RNAcentral.